Molecule: non-coding RNA, 88 nt
Organism: Staphylotrichum longicolle
Lineage: Eukaryota; Fungi; Ascomycota; Sordariomycetes; Sordariales; Chaetomiaceae
Source: the annotation of a GenBank genome assembly
GGGUGUAUGGUCUAGUGGUAUGAUUUUCGCUUUGCAUUGGCUCUUCAAUGAUUGUGAACGGUCCCCGGUUCGAUCCCGGGUGCAUCCA